ACGCAACUCCUUUAACUGGAGAAUAGCCCCUCGAAAGAGGGAUUAAUACUCCGUAACAUAUUGAUAAGGCAUCUUAUUAAUAUUAUAGCUCCGGCGGUUAAAGAUGGGCGUGCACCUGAUUAGAUAGUUGGCGGGGUAAUGGCCCACCAAGUCUGCGAUCAGUAACUGGUGUGAGAGCACGACCAGUCACACGGGCACUGAGACACGGGUCCG
RNAcentral lists this ribosomal RNA (213 nucleotides) under uncultured bacterium. Its description in RNAcentral is "partial 16S ribosomal RNA". It matches the Rfam family "Bacterial small subunit ribosomal RNA", at positions 119 to 334 of the family's 1533-position model. The record is from RNAcentral.